Molecule: regulatory RNA element, 103 nt
Organism: Staphylococcus haemolyticus JCSC1435
Lineage: Bacteria; Bacillati; Bacillota; Bacilli; Caryophanales; Staphylococcaceae
Rfam family: azaaromatic riboswitch aptamer (yjdF RNA)
Source: Rfam
AUAGAGAAAUGUAAAAACACAAUUGGGUUGGUAGUCCCAAUGCAAAUGUAAUCAUUUGUCAGUAACCUUCCUCCUCAGGUCGUCCCUCAUUUCAAGUUAUAUA